Molecule: long non-coding RNA, 459 nt
Organism: Macrobrachium nipponense
Lineage: Eukaryota; Metazoa; Arthropoda; Malacostraca; Decapoda; Palaemonidae
Exons: 2
Source: RefSeq, a predicted model, not a curated record
UAGAUGGAUGCAUCUGGUAUCGUUGGAGGUGUAGGCUGGCCGCGGGCGGGAAAUUCAGUCCAGGAAUGAAUUUGAAAUCUACGGACCUACUUCGCACUCUUCAGCUCAUCCUUAGUUUUAAUGAGAUGUCUCAAGAUGACAGCACCAUUCGUCGCACCGUUUCCAGAUUUGCAAGUCAAGCUCGCAACAUUAUAAUGAAUGUUCAUCGUUACUUCAGCUCACAGUGGGGAGCAGACUCAAGAAAUGAAGUAUUUGAGAAGACCGCCAAAGCUACAGGAGUGCCAACCAACACAGUGAAAAAAAUCAAGCGACAGUCAUCUGAAUGUGGUAACGUCCCCUUCGCUUCACCUGUAUAUCCCAGGAAGAGGAUCCGAGUGAAGGACAAGGUGGAUAGUUUUGAAAAUGAAUGUAUUCGGAAGGAGAUUUUGUCUUUUUACGAGAGAGGAGAGCUCCCAACGU